Euleptes europaea (tarantolino) is the source of this 241-nucleotide long non-coding RNA. RefSeq lists it as uncharacterized. Lineage: Eukaryota; Metazoa; Chordata; Lepidosauria; Squamata; Sphaerodactylidae. The record is from RefSeq and is a predicted model, not a curated record. The transcript has 3 exons.
AUACCUUCUCUGGUAUCUCCUCUGUGUGGUGAAGUGAAAAAAGAUGCCAUGCAGCCAUCUCAGGGUGGGGUGUCCUUUGAAGAGGUGGCUGUGUAUUUCACCCAGGCUGAGUGGACCCUGCUGCGUCCAGCCCAGAGAGCUCUGUACAAGGAAGUCAUGCUGGAGAAUUUUGGGAACAUGGCCUCUCUGGCACCUAAGAUUGCCAAACCUGAGCUCAUAUCCUGGCUGGAAGAGGAGGAAG